This 1345-nucleotide ribosomal RNA is filed under the name uncultured bacterium. Its description in RNAcentral is "bacterial SSU rRNA". It matches the Rfam family "Bacterial small subunit ribosomal RNA", at positions 28 to 1381 of the family's 1533-position model. The record is from RNAcentral.
GAUGAACGCUAGCGGGAGGCCUAACACAUGCAAGCCGAGCGGUAGAGAUCUUUCGGGAUCUUGAGAGCGGCGUACGAGUGCGGAACACGUGUGCAACCUGCCUUUAUCUGGGGGAUAGCCUUUCGAAAGGAAGAUUAAUACCCCAUAAUAUGUUGGAUGGCAUCAUUCGACAUUGAAAACUCCGGUGGAUAGAGAUGGGCACGCGCAAGAUUAGAUAGUUGGUGAGGUAACGGCUCACCAAGUCUGCGAUCUUUAGGGGGCCUGAGAGGGUGAUCCCCCACACUGGUACUGAGACACGGACCAGACUCCUACGGGAGGCAGCAGUGAGGAAUAUUGGACAAUGGGUGAGAGCCUGAUCCAGCCAUCCCGCGUGAAGGACGACGGCCCUAUGGGUUGUAAACUUCUUUUGUAUAGGGAUAAACCUACUCUCGUGAGAGUAGCUGAAGGUACUAUACGAAUAAGCACCGGCUAACUCCGUGCCAGCAGCCGCGGUAAUACGGAGGGUGCAAGCGUUAUCCGGAUUUAUUGGGUUUAAAGGGUCCGUAGGCGGAUCUGUAAGUCAGUGGUGAAAUCUCACAGCUUAACUGUGAAACUGCCAUUGAUACUGCAGGUCUUGAGUGUUGUUGAAGUAGCUGGAAUAAGUAGUGUAGCGGUGAAAUGCAUAGAUAUUACUUAGAACACCAAUUGCGAAGGCAGGUUACUAAGCAACAACUGACGCUGAUGGACGAAAGCGUGGGGAGCGAACAGGAUUAGAUACCCUGGUAGUCCACGCCGUAAACGAUGCUAACUCGUUUUUGGGCUUUCGGGUUCAGAGACUAAGCGAAAGUGAUAAGUUAGCCACCUGGGGAGUACGAACGCAAGUUUGAAACUCAAAGGAAUUGACGGGGGCCCGCACAAGCGGUGGAUUAUGUGGUUUAAUUCGAUGAUACGCGAGGAACCUUACCAAGGCUUAAAUGGGAAAUGACAGGUUUAGAAAUAGACUUUUCUUCGGACAUUUUUCAAGGUGCUGCAUGGUUGUCGUCAGCUCGUGCCGUGAGGUGUUAGGUUAAGUCCUGCAACGAGCGCAACCCCUGUCACUAGUUGCCAUCAUUAAGUUGGGGACUCUAGUGAGACUGCCUACGCAAGUAGAGAGGAAGGUGGGGAUGACGUCAAAUCAUCACGGCCCUUACGCCUUGGGCCACACACGUAAUACAAUGGCCGGUACAGAGGGCAGCUACACAGCGAUGUGAUGCAAAUCUCGAAAGCCGGUCUCAGUUCGGAUUGGAGUCUGCAACUCGACUCUAUGAAGCUGGAAUCGCUAGUAAUCGCGCAUCAGCCAUGGCGCGGUGAAUACGUUCCCGGGCCU